GAUGAACGCUGGCGGCGUGCCUAAUACAUGCAAGUCGAGCGAACAGACGAGGAGCUUGCUCCUCUGACGUUAGCGGCGGACGGGUGAGUAACACGUGGAUAACCUACCUAUAAGACUGGGAUAACUUCGGGAAACCGGAGCUAAUACCGGAUAAUAUAUUGAACCGCAUGGUUCAAUAGUGAAAGACGGUUUUGCUGUCACUUAUAGAUGGAUCCGCGCCGCAUUAGCUAGUUGGUAAGGUAACGGCUUACCAAGGCGACGAUGCGUAGCCGACCUGAGAGGGUGAUCGGCCACACUGGAACUGAGACACGGUCCAGACUCCUACGGGAGGCAGCAGUAGGGAAUCUUCCGCAAUGGGCGAAAGCCUGACGGAGCAACGCCGCGUGAGUGAUGAAGGUCUUCGGAUCGUAAAACUCUGUUAUUAGGGAAGAACAAAUAUGUAAGUAACUAUGCACGUCUUGACGGUACCUAAUCAGAAAGCCACGGCUAACUACGUG
Molecule: ribosomal RNA, 497 nt
Filed under: uncultured bacterium
Lineage: Bacteria
Description: partial 16S ribosomal RNA
Rfam family: Bacterial small subunit ribosomal RNA
Source: RNAcentral